GCCGAGGCACCCCUUGGCCAGCGACUCGGAGGAGGAGGAGCCGCCCCGGUGUCCCGACGCCGGAGACGCCGCCUCCCCCCGCGUGGUGCCCGAGAGCGACCCCGAAGAGCCGGACGUGCGACCCGGCGCCCACGUGCUCCGAAAACGCCUCCCCCCGGCUUCGACCUUGGGUUGCGCGGAUCUGGACGGCGGGGGACCCAAAAAACGCCGCUUGGGCCCCAAAACCCCCCCGGGUCCGGGGUUCGGGUCCCGAAAUCGCGUCCUGAACCCCGACGUGGCCCAAGGGACCCCGAAACCGCACGCUGGACGUGCCGGCAACGGGCGCUGGGUGCUGGUGGUGGACAGCGACACGGAUGAGGAGGAGGCCGAGCUCCUUCCGCCCGUCGGGCGCCCCGAAAUUCGACGAAAAACCCCAAACGUGCCCCACAGCCCCAGGGGGGAGGCCAGGAUCCCACGGCCCGACGCCGGAGGUCCCGGAGGUGGGGAGCUCGCGGCGGACAGCGACGCGGACGCGGAGGGAGACGGAGCGGAGGAGGGCGUGGGGCGGCCCCGAAAUCAUCAAACGAUCCCAAAUGUCCCAAAAACGGAGGCGGAGAGCCCAGCCCCGGGGCCUGGAGGUCCAAGGGACGAGCGUCGGGCGCCGAGGGCGGACGGCGAUAGGGAUGGGGAGGACGGCGGAGCCCCGACCCGACGGGGGACCCCGAAUUCACCGCACCCCCCCGGUUUGGAGGCUGGGGGUCCCCACGGGGGGCGGCGGGCGCCGGUGGUGGGCGGCGAUCCAGAUGUUGGCUGCCCAGCGGCCCCCCGAGGCCUGGAUCCAGAUGUUGGGGGGGCCAAAAGGAGGCAGCGGCCUCCGCCGGUAGACAGCGAUACGGAUGUGGAGGAGGAAGAGCUGGAUCCAGAUGUUGCCCACCCGGAAAACCACAGAACGCCCCAAAUUACCCCAAAGGAUCCAGCUGUGCUCGCAGAGACCCCAAAUUCCGGUCUUAAAGGACCUCACGUUGGAGAUUGGGGUUUAGAGGUGGAGAGCGACACAGACAUCGAGGGAGAAGAGCUGGAUCCAGAUGUUCCCCACCUGAAAACCCACAAAACGCCCCAAAUUCCCCCGCGGGAUCCAGCUGUGGUGACGGAGACCCCAAAUCCUGACCUGAAAGGGCCUCGGGUUGGAGAUCGGAGCCUCAAGGUGGACAGCGAUACAGAUGUUGAGGGAGAAGAGCUGAAUCCAGAUGUUCCC
RNAcentral lists this long non-coding RNA (1234 nucleotides) under Numida meleagris (helmeted guineafowl). RNAcentral describes it as "lncRNA (ENSNMEG00000002181.1)". The record is from RNAcentral. Lineage: Eukaryota; Metazoa; Chordata; Aves; Galliformes; Numididae.